GCAAACUUGGUCAUUUAGAGGAAGUAAAAGUCGUAACAAGGUUUCCGUAGGUGAACCUGCGGAAGGAUCAUUAUUAGAGUUAUGCCCUUUAAAAAAUGGGUAGACCUCCAAACCCUUUGUUUUUAAUUGACUUUGUUGCUUUGGUAGGUUUUCAAACCUGCCAGAGGAAAUUAAAACUCUGAAUAUUUUUGUUGUCCGAGUUAUACUUAAUAAAUUCAAUAAAACUUUCAACAACGGAUCUCUUGGUUCUGGCAUCGAUGAAGAACGCAGC
RNAcentral lists this unclassified non-coding RNA (271 nucleotides) under uncultured fungus. RNAcentral describes it as "partial contains small subunit ribosomal RNA, internal transcribed spacer 1, and 5.8S ribosomal RNA". The stretch from base 1 to 73 matches the Rfam family "Eukaryotic small subunit ribosomal RNA", at positions 1759 to 1831 of the family's 1831-position model. Lineage: Eukaryota; Fungi. The record is from RNAcentral.